Molecule: ribosomal RNA, 404 nt
Filed under: uncultured bacterium
Lineage: Bacteria
Description: bacterial SSU rRNA
Rfam family: Bacterial small subunit ribosomal RNA
Source: RNAcentral
UGGGGAAUAUUGGACAAUGGGCGAAAGCCUGAUCCAGCCAUGCCGCGUGAGUGAUGAAGGCCCUAGGGUUGUAAAGCUCUUUCAGCGGGGAAGAUAAUGACGGUACCCGCAGAAGAAGCCCCGGCUAACUUCGUGCCAGCAGCCGCGGUAAUACGAAGGGGGCUAGCGUUGUUCGGAAUCACUGGGCGUAAAGCGCGUGUAGGCGGAUUGUUAAGUCGGGGGUGAAAUCCUGAGGCUCAACCUCAGAACUGCCUUCGAUACUGGCGAUCUUGAGUCCGGGAGAGGUGAGUGGAACUCCUAGUGUAGAGGUGAAAUUCGUAGAUAUUAGGAAGAACACCAGUGGCGAAGGCGGCUCACUGGCCCGGUACUGACGCUGAAACGCGAAAGCGUGGGGAGCAAACAGG